Molecule: long non-coding RNA, 1071 nt
Organism: Lepidothrix coronata (blue-crowned manakin)
Lineage: Eukaryota; Metazoa; Chordata; Aves; Passeriformes; Pipridae
Exons: 4
Source: RefSeq, a predicted model, not a curated record
AAUACUGGGUAAAUCUGGGCACUUCCUUGGCUACAAACUGGUCACCAAGGAAGGCCUAGACCAAACUACCACAGUGUCGUUGAGGGAAGCCUGGAAGCCCUGUAGACUGAUCAGUGUUUGUAGACUCCCAGUAAUAAGGGACAAGUUACUGUAUUUAAAGGGUGACUAAGAUGGAGACUGCCUUUUUACAAGGAGCCACAGGGAAAACAUGAGGAGUACAUGUAAAAGUUACUACUGGUCAUCUUGCAAAAGGGAGUCUCAAAGCCUGGGAAGGGUUCCACUGCAGAUGGUCAGUGUAUAAGGCCAGGGAGAAUUGUUCCUUAGCCAGGGAGAAGGCUUCAGAUUUUACAGUGAGAUUGGGAUUCAUGAACAUCCAAGUGUAGCUCACACUCCUCUCCAGCUCCAGGACUGUGGCGGCGGGAAAUGAGAUGCACCCUUUGGUUGCAGAACUGCCGUGAAUAUGGAUUUUCUCAACAUAUCAGAUAAAACUGAUAGCUUCUUGCUUCAACUUUCUUACGUUUGAGCAAAAAAGCCUAAAAAUCCUGUUGUUUGGCACUGCUGGAUAAUGCUUUGAACCCUUUUUUUACACGAUCUAAGAAAAAAGUAUGGAAGCUCCCAGGCAGUUUCAACACUGUGAAACACCAUCUUGAGAGAGGUCAGCACAGGAGGUGUGCCUGGAGGACAGUCCCUUACAGCUGCCCCUGGAGAAGCCUCGAUGGGUAGCAAAGCAGAUGGCUCAGCUCUGUCAAAGAAAGUCUCCUAAAAACACCAGAUUAUUGAGGCAAUGAGGUUCUGGCUUGCUAACUACAUCUGAUACGCUGAUGGGCAUGGCUCUCUUUCAGCCCUGCCCUUUCUGCAAGACAAAAUAGAAUUUUAAUCCUCCCAAGAAAAUUUUAUAGUGGAAGAUUGUGAAAAUGAGGACAGCAACACAGAUGGAUGUUUGCUAAUAACUGUUUGGAUUUGGCAAUGUAGGAGGGCUUUUCUAGCUUUACAGUCCCUUAGUAUUUGUAAAAUUACUUUAUAUAAAAAGAAAAAAAAAACAACGCCCUGUGGGUGGUAUGCAGGGGUUGU